RNAcentral lists this transfer RNA (74 nucleotides) under Bacteroidota bacterium. RNAcentral's name for it is "Bacteroidetes bacterium tRNA-Val". It matches the Rfam family "tRNA". From Rfam's summary of the family: Transfer RNA (tRNA) molecules are approximately 80 nucleotides in length. Their secondary structure includes four short double-helical elements and three loops (D, anti-codon, and T loops). Lineage: Bacteria; Pseudomonadati; Bacteroidota. RNAcentral also lists the same sequence under 3 other names. The record is from RNAcentral.
GGGCGAUUAGCUCAAUUGGCUAGAGCACCUCGCUUACACCGAGGGGGUUUGAGGUUCGAGUCCUUAAUCGCCCA